This 284-nucleotide long non-coding RNA is filed under the name Anas platyrhynchos platyrhynchos (common mallard). Its description in RNAcentral is "lncRNA (ENSAPLG00000022706.1)". The record is from RNAcentral. Lineage: Eukaryota; Metazoa; Chordata; Aves; Anseriformes; Anatidae.
UCUAAGAUUCCUAGGAAUUAACUUAAUGUUCUUUUGUCUUCACAGUUCAUUCAAACCAUCUGCAAAGUUUUGAAAUGAACAAAGGGAAGGAGAACAGCAAUGCAACACAUGUUUUCUGGGAAGUACCGAGGUGCUUCUGUGGCCUGAUUUCCAGAGUUUGCUGAGCAUCAGCACGAUCCCAUUAGGGUAAGUUACCAAGGUCAUGCCAGGAAUCCUAUGCCAGGAAUUGUCCUGACUCCCUGCCCAAUGUUUUAGUGAUGUGUGGAAACAAAAUUAAGAUAUCA